UAACUAGGAUUCCCCCAGUAACGGCGAGUGAAGAGGGACUAGCCCAAAUUUGUAAUCUGGCUCUUUCAGAGUCCGAGUUGUAAUCUCGAGAACGGUUUUCCGUGUUGGACCUUGUAUAAGUCUGUUGGAAUAUAGCUUCAUAGAGGGUGAGAAUCCCGUAAAUGACGAGGACUACCAAUGCUUUGUGAUACCGUCUCCAAGAGUCGAGUUGUUUGGGAAUGCAGCUCAAAUCGGGUGGUAAAUUCCAUCUAAGGCUAAAUAUUGGCGAGAGACCGAUAGCGAACAAGUACCGUGAGGGAAAGAUGAAAAGCACUUUGGAAAGAGAGUUAACAGUACGUGAAAUUGUUAAAAGGGAAACGCUUGAAGUCAGUCUUGUAGCGAUUUGUUCAACCGCAAGGUGUAUUCAAAUUGUAACAGGCCAACAUCAGUUUCCGGUGACGGAUAAGGGUUUUUGGAAUGUAGCAAUUUCGGUUGUGUUAUAGCCAUUGACUUGAUACGUUGCUGGGGAUUGAGGAACGCAGUGAGCCUUUUGGCGGGUCUUUUGACCUUCUCACUAUGGAUGUUGGCGUAA
Molecule: ribosomal RNA, 571 nt
Filed under: Platygloea sp. KUC9023
Lineage: Eukaryota; Fungi; Basidiomycota; Pucciniomycetes; Platygloeales; Platygloeaceae
Description: LSU rRNA
Rfam family: Eukaryotic large subunit ribosomal RNA
Source: RNAcentral